Molecule: signal recognition particle RNA, 299 nt
Filed under: Cebus imitator (Panamanian white-faced capuchin)
Lineage: Eukaryota; Metazoa; Chordata; Mammalia; Primates; Cebidae
Description: Metazoan signal recognition particle RNA (ENSCCAG00000009533.1)
Rfam family: Metazoan signal recognition particle RNA
About the family: The signal recognition particle (SRP) is a universally conserved ribonucleoprotein. It is involved in the co-translational targeting of proteins to membranes.
Source: RNAcentral
GCCGGGCACGGAGGCCCCUGCCUGUAGUCCCAGCUACUCGGGAGGCUGAGGCUGGAGGACCAAUUGAGCCCAGGAGUUCUGGGCUGUAGCACGCUGUGCUGAUUGGGUGUCCACACUAAGUUCGGCAUCAAUAUGGUGACCUCUUGAGGGUGGGAGACCACCAGGUGGCCUAAGGAGGGGUGAACCGGGUCAGGUCGGAAAUGGAGAGGGUGAGAAUUCCCAUGCUGAUCAGUAGUGGGAUUGUGCCUGUGAAUAGCCACUGUACUGCAGCCCGGGCAACAUAGUGAGACCCCGUCUCU